This 420-nucleotide ribosomal RNA is filed under the name bacterium. RNAcentral describes it as "partial 16S ribosomal RNA". It matches the Rfam family "Bacterial small subunit ribosomal RNA", at positions 355 to 776 of the family's 1533-position model. The record is from RNAcentral.
UGGGGGAUAUUGCACAAUGGGCGAAAGCCUGAUGCAGCGACGCCGCGUGGGGGAUGAAGGCUUUCGGGUUGUAAACCUCUUUCGCUAUCGAACAAGGCCCGCUUAGGGUGGGUUGAGGGUAGGUGGAGAAGAAGCGCCGGCUAACUACGGGCCAGCAGCCGCGGUAAUACGUAGGGCGCGAGGGUUGUCCGGAAUUAUUGGGCGUAAAGGGCUUGUAGGCGGCUUGUUGCGCCUGCUGUGAAAACGCGGGGCUUAACUUCGCGCGUGCAGUGGGUACGGGCAGGCUUGAGUGUGGUAGGGGUGACUGGAAUUCCAGGUGUAGCGGUGGAAUGCGCAGAUAUCUGGAGGAACACCGAUGGCGAAGGCAGGUCACUGGGCCAUUACUGACGCUGAGGAGCGAAAGCAUGGGUAGCGAACAGG